RNAcentral lists this unclassified non-coding RNA (445 nucleotides) under Hevea brasiliensis (rubber tree). The record is from RNAcentral. Lineage: Eukaryota; Viridiplantae; Streptophyta; Magnoliopsida; Malpighiales; Euphorbiaceae.
CAGACUUGGAGUCCCAUGUUUGAUUUGGUAAAUGUGUUUGAAGUGUUUCUUCCACAACUUCUCUUGUAUCCAAAUCCAUCAGACCCAUUGAAUGGAGAGGCUGCUGCCCUUAUGAUGCGAGACCGGGCUGCCUAUGAACUAAGAGUUAAAGAAUUUUGUCAGAAAUAUGCCAAGCCUGAAGAUGUUGGAGCUGCUGCCCCUGAGGAGAAGUCAAGUGAUGAGGAGUUGAGUGAAGCUGAAUAUGAUUCAGCUGAUGAUGCAGUUGCAGGCCCUGUUGAUCCAUGACCGACUCCCGCACUCAUUGACUUUAUGUAUCUGUAAAUGAUGUUCUUAGUCCUGUUUAAUAUCAAGCUGAACUACAAAGUUCAAGACAAUGUUCCCCUUGUUUUAUUAGUUUAGCUUCAAUGUAAAUAAUUUCACCCUUUAAUUACUGUGUUCAUAUUUG